This 4689-nucleotide long non-coding RNA is filed under the name Brassica napus (rape). RNAcentral describes it as "long non-coding RNA (BNAP_LNC001097)". Lineage: Eukaryota; Viridiplantae; Streptophyta; Magnoliopsida; Brassicales; Brassicaceae. The record is from RNAcentral.
UCCUCUGCUUCUUGAUCCAAGCCAGACAGCCGUGAGGAUCUUCCACUAGUGCAUCCGCUUGAGAUGUAGAUGAUAACAACGCGAGAGGACCAAUAUUCAGAUAACGUUUGAACUCCGACUUGAGGUUAUUCGUCAGUGUAUUAUCUAGCUCUUCAAAUGAAUUGAUGAAAACCGCAUCGGCACGAGGUAAAGCAAGACCCAUUUUAUGCAACGUGUCUGAAAAAACAGAGUCUAAGUUCCCAAACACAACUCCUUCCGGUGUGUCUUUGACUCUGAUCAUCUCCAUUCCAGAGAUAAACCCUAGUGUCUCCUCCAUACACCCAUCUACUUUUGUAAAAAAGCAAUCAAAAUCAUUACCACAAAUAUACAUAUAAUCACUGCACAUUCUUCAGAAUUCACAAUUUUAGUAACCAUUCCUUUUUUAACUAAAUAACUAAUUUUCUUUUAACGGCUAAGGACAAAAAAAACACAAGUGGUAGUUUGGUUUUUUAUUUUUUAGUUAUUACCAUUCACACGUACGGAUUGUCUGAUGAGAUCUGUGUAGAGAUGAACAGACAGCGAGUUUGGUCCGGCUGUCCAAAACGCAACCCAUGACGCCUUCAUCUCCGCCGCCAUAUCCGACGCGAACCAGAAGAACGCAUCCGUCAACAUGCACGUCACUUUCUUACCGGCGUCAUUCUCCGCCGACGCGAUCGCUUCCCGGAAACUCUCCAGCGCCGCUACGAGAAACAGCUCGAUCGCCUCCUGUGGUCUCCCGGAGAACACGUAUCCCUCCGGGACGCCGUCAGCGACGUCGUGGACUCGGAUGUUCGAUGGGAGAUCUGAGGGGAAUAACGAGGAGUUGGAUUGGACGGUGUUGAAGAAGGAGAAGAGUGUGGAGGGAGAGGCGGAGGCGAGACGGCGCGUGACGGAGAGGAGAGGAGCGGCGUGAGUGCCGAAGGGGAAAGCGAGGACGGCUACGUGGGAGUCUGUGGUUGGCUGGUCGGUGUUGGCCAUGGUGGGAGAGUACAAUGAAGGAGACAAGAGAGAGAGAGAUGAGAGAUAAUGAUAAAUAGGAGAAUGGAAUGGCUGAGGAUGAACCACCGAGCAAGUAUAAAGCUCGUGAUGGUGGUUGGUUGGUAAUGGUAACACACACUCUCUCUCUUUCUCUCUCUCGUUGAACUUUCUUAUAUGUUUGACGUAACACAAAUAUAUCAUAUUAUAUAUUGGAUAGACUUUUCGACAUUUUUUGUUAUUUCGAAAUUGGUCAAAAGAACAAGAUAUUAAUUUCCAUGUUAGUGUAAUGAUUUUGUAAAAGGACAUGUUUCUUCGUUUGUGCAUAUUAUAUUUUUCGUAAAAACUAUUAUACGAUUUUCAUUUAACAGGAGAUUUGUUAUCUAUUUUUAGUAGGAAAUCGAAUACUUUAAACCAAAAAAAGAUGAUUAUCAUUUCAGAAAAGGAAAUGAAAUGUCGGUGGUAGGAUAAGUAGCAUUCAGAGUACGUAGUUAAUGUUGAGUUUCUCGAUGAAAUGUUACUGUGUUUGGUAUGGCCCCCUCCAUGAUAAAAUAAAUAGGAGUACGUAGUGGUAGGUAAAAUUCGUGGUUCACAUAUCUCGUAAAGGCUCUGAUGAUCAGAUGGUGAUAUAUGUGUGUGAUUACGUUAGAAACCCAAACCCUAAUUGCAUAUUUGUCGGAUGCUGAAUUAAAUUCGAAAUAAAUUAUAUGAUUUGGGCCGGAAGCGUAUGUAUUGAUACUUUCGUUUUAUAUAACGGGAUGCCGGUAAUACUAUUAAAAUGUGGCAUACACGUGUUGUUUGUUUGGUAGUUACAAACAUAAGUAAAUGUUUUUUUUUGUAGGUAACAGAUCUCAUAUUAUGACAUUCAGUAAUUGUCUUGGAGUACUCUCUACCUUAAUUCUCGUUUCACUUGUGUAGUUAGAGUAAGAGCAACCCCAUUGAGGGUUUCUAGUCUAGGAUAUCUAAAAGUACAUUUAUAUGUAUGUAUAUAUUACAUAAGUGUGUAAUUGCGGAGUUUUAAGUUUUACGGAAACGUAAUCCAAAACAAUAUAUUUUGAAUUAUGUUUUCCGUAAAUAUUAGAACCCCGCAGUUACAUACACUUAUAUAUAUACAUUUUUACAUACUUUUUUUUUUGGACAACUAUCAAUGGAGUUGCUCUAACAGGAUGAGCAGAACAAAAAGCAUGUGUAUGGGUUCAAUUAUGUGAGAGUCUCUAGCUAUAAAUAGUAAGAAAAAAAAGUCUGCAAAAGAGAUAAAAAAAGCAAUAACCAGCUCUUUUAUAUAUGAAUAUUCUGGUGGGAAGACUUGUUCCUGAAAUCCUUUGAAUCUCUUUCAAAUGAUCUCCUCCAAAUCAACCUUCUGUCGCCUGGUCUUCUCUUCGAAUUCUUAUUUUCUCUCCUUUUCUUCCAGAAGAAGUCGGUGGAUGGCUGGUCGGUGUUGGCCAUGGUGAUUGGUGAGUACAGUGAAGGAGACAAGGCAGUAGGGAGAUGAGAUAGUAAUAAAUAAGAAGAUGGAAUGGCUGAGGAUGAACCACCGAGCAAGUAUUGUGAUGGUGGUUGGUAACACUCUCUCGUUGCACUUUCUUAUGUUUGACGUGACAAAAUAUAUCAUAUUAUAUAGAGUUUAUAUGAAAUUUUGUUAUUUCAAAUUGGUUAAACCCCUUCCCCCCGAAAGGAGAGUAUAUACCCGUUGAAAAAGAUUAUCCAGAUUCUGAAAAUGUUAUGAGACUGAACCGGCAACCGCACUUCGUGCUAGAAUAGCUAGGGAGCGGCUAUUUACGAGAAUAAACUGACAGCCUUUUUUAUGGAAGAGAAAGAAAGAACAAGAGUAGUGUAUUGAUUUUGAAAAGGGACAUGUUUCUUCGUUUGUACAAAUAUUUUUCAUAACAGGAGAUUUGUAUACUACUUUAAGUAAUCAAUCGAAUAUUUUAAACUAAAAGAGUAACUAUCAUUUCAAAAACGGAAAUGAAAUGUUGGUAGAAUGAGUACGUAGUAAUGUUAAGUUUCUCGAUGAAAUGUUGCUGCGUUUUGGUAUGACCCCUCUAUGAUAAAACAAUAUAAAAAUAAAUAGGAGUACGUAACUAGUAGUAUGUUGUUGCGGUAGGUAAAAUUAGUGGUUCGUAAUCACUUGGAACUUCUCGUAAAUUUAGUGUGUUAUUAUUGCCUUAUUGGUUCCUCUGAUAUAGUAUAUACAUUCUCGUUUUCGUUGCUUGUAACAUGUUUGCUGACAGGUUCGAACCUUAUUACGCAGGAUUCAGUGUUGAGAAAGUUGAGUACAAAAAUGUGAUGAUCACGGUUUGGGAUGUUAGUGGCCAAGAGAAACUGAUCAAACCUCUUUGGAGGCAUUACUUUAAUAACACUUAUGGACUUGUCACUUGUACGUUGUGUAUAGCUUCUCUUGCCUUUUCUGUGUUCUAUCAAAGACCAUAAUAUAUAUAUUUUUUCGUUUUUUAAUUUUGAGAAUCGAUCAACCUUAUGAUCCAAAAAUCUACACACAAACAACAGAAACUUCAUAAAACUAAUACAGUGAAAGAUGAUCCAAGAACAUCUCGUCUUAGAACAAACUGUGAUGACCCAAAUCCUAACCCAAAGAAUUCAGGUCGAAGCCCAAAUCCAUUCCUAGAGGCCCAAGGUAUUUUUUUUAUAAAAACCCACAUUUAUCCACUUUAGUUCCUCACAAACUUUAUGCAAAAGAAGAAGAAGAGUUAGAGAGAGAGUGAGCUAAGAGAAGAGGUGUGAUCUUUUACAGUGAGUGGGUCGCCGGAGCUCGUCGCCGGAGCAACCGUGUACCGUGAUCACGUUCAGCUCGACACCACCGUUCGCAACCCUAGGUAACCACCGCAAAACCGCCAUGCAUUUAGUUCAGUUUCGGCCGUUUUAGUAAAUCGCCCAUAACUUCCUAACCACUGCGAAUUUCGUGCAUGCAAGACCACCAUCGUGUUCCUCUCGUCGAGACGAAGCCGUAGACACCAACCACGCCGCAAUCGGAGCCCGGACGAAACCGCUAGAGCCUCCCGAAGUUUCGCCUCUGCACGAGCGUGAAACGCACGCAAUCCGUUCAGUCUCUGAUCCCCAAAGAACGGCCUGCAAAUCAUCGGCACACCUCCGGAAACACUCUCCAACACGGAGUUCCAUCCACAAUGCGUCACAAACACACCCGUUGCUUCGUGUUUCAACAGCUCAACUUGUGGAGCCCAUGGAACCACUAUCCCUUGCUCUCUUGUCCGUUCCAGAAACCCUUUUGGUAACUGAACCAUGUUCUUCUCCUUAAGCGACCAAACAAACGGCACUUUGCUCGACUCCAACCCUUCCGCUAUCGCCACAAGCUCUCCUGGAGACGGCGUCAUGACUGUACCAAAGCUAAUGUACGCUACAGAAGCAGUCCUCUGUUUCUUGAUCCAAGCCAAACAGCCGUGAGGAUCGUCCACUAGUGUAGUAUCUGAUUGUGAUGCAGAUGAUAACAACGCGAGAGGUCCAAUAUUUAGAUAGCGUUUGAACUCCGACUUGAGGUUAUUCGUCAGUGUAUUAUCUAGCUCUUCAAAUGAAUUGAUCAAAACCGCAUCGGCACGAGGUAAAGCAAGACCCAUUUUAUGCAACGUGUCUGAAAAAACAGAGUCUAAGUUCCCAAACACAACUCCUUCCGGUGUGUCUUUGACUCUGAUCAUCUCCAUUCCAGAGAUAAACCCUAGUGUCUCC